AGAUUGAACGCUGGCGGCAUGCCUAACACAUGCAAGUCGAGCGGCAGCGCGGGGGCAACCCUGGCGGCGAGCGGCGGACGGGUGAGUAAUGCAUCGGGACGUAUCCUUGAGUGGGGGAUAACGCAGCGAAAGUUGUGCUAAUACCGCAUAAGCUCUGAGGAGGAAAGCGGGGGACCGAAAGGCCUCGCGCAGCAGGAUGAGCCGAUGUCCGAUUAGCUGGUUGGUGGGGUAACGGCCCACCAAGGCGACGAUCGGUAGCUGGUCUGGGAGGAUGAUCAGCCACACUGGGACUGAGACACGGCCCAGACUCCUACGGAGGCAGC
RNAcentral lists this ribosomal RNA (323 nucleotides) under uncultured prokaryote. RNAcentral describes it as "bacterial SSU rRNA". It matches the Rfam family "Bacterial small subunit ribosomal RNA", at positions 26 to 352 of the family's 1533-position model. The record is from RNAcentral.